Long non-coding RNA from Lolium rigidum, 770 nucleotides. RefSeq lists it as uncharacterized. NCBI's taxonomy places the organism in Eukaryota, Viridiplantae, Streptophyta, Magnoliopsida, Poales, Poaceae. The record is from RefSeq and is a predicted model, not a curated record. The transcript has 4 exons.
AACAUGCGCGCUCUCGGGAGAUGGCCUCCUCCACGCUGCGAUGCCUCCUCCUGCUGCUGCCGUUGAUCGACGCCCCAUCUGUCUUCCUUCCAGAUCAGGCGAGGAUAUCAGCGUCUUCUUCCUACGAAGAAGACAAGCUUGUGAUCUGCAACCGGGGAGAGGCACCUCAGGGUGCUCCGUGACAAGAUGCAGCGUAACGAGCAUGCCAGCACGCUGGAGGUGCCCGGCGUCACGAUCACUGUGCGUAUGCUCUUGUUCAAGACCCACAUCGAGGCUGCCAAUUACAACCUUGGCGAGGCCCCGCAGGUCACCCAACUUGGCACAGGGGAAGUUGCUUCAAGGCUCUGUUGAACAGAGGAGAGGAAGCGGCCAGACGGGACGAGGUUGAUCUCCAUCAUUAGUAGUCAUCGACGACGGCAGGUCCAGAUGGGUCGAGCCAGCAGUAUGUUUCCAAAAUCUACUCAUGACCUUUGCAACAAAGAUGUUCAGAAACUUGUCUUCCCAUCCUAGGCUUGAGAAGACCAAGUUCACAAAAUCUACUCAUGUGACCUUUGCAACAAAGAUGUUCUGGAACUUGUCUUUCCAUCCUAGGCUUAUCGCUUUUAGACUUAGCUUGUACUUCUUCAGUCAUUUAUCUGUGAACAUGGCCAACGAUCUAUGUGUUUGCUUACCAUCUGCUUAUUAUAAUGCCCGUGGUAUACUUUUUGUCCUGUUAAUGUGCUUAUGUUCCUUUUAUGAAUGAUGAUUAGGAAGUUGUAGGCAUUGUAUAA